GACGAACGCUGGCGGCGUGCUUAACACAUGCAAGUCGAACGGAAAGGCCCUGCUUUUGUGGGGUGCUCGAGUGGCGAACGGGUGAGUAACACGUGAGUAACCUGCCCUUGACUUUGGGAUAACUUCAGGAAACUGGGGCUAAUACCGGAUAGGAGCUCCUGCUGCAUGGUGGGGGUUGGAAAGUUUCGGCGGUUGGGGAUGGACUCGCGGCUUAUCAGCUUGUUGGUGGGGUAGUGGCUUACCAAGGCUUUGACGGGUAGCCGGCCUGAGAGGGUGACCGGCCACAUUGGGACUGAGAGACGGCCCAGACUCCUACGGGAGGCAGCAGUGGGGAAUAUUGCACAAUGGGCGGAAGCCUGAUGCAGCGACGCCGCGUGCGGGAUGACGGCCUUCGGGUUGUAAACCGCUUUCGACUGUGACGAAGCGUGAGUGACGGUAAUGGGUAAAGAAGCACCGGCUAACUACGUG
This 468-nucleotide ribosomal RNA is filed under the name uncultured bacterium. RNAcentral's name for it is "partial 16S ribosomal RNA". It matches the Rfam family "Bacterial small subunit ribosomal RNA", at positions 28 to 507 of the family's 1533-position model. The record is from RNAcentral.